AUUGAACGCUGGCGGCAUGCCUUACACAUGCAAGUCGAACGGCAGCACGAAAGAACUUGCUCCUUUGGUGGCGAGUGGCGAACGGGUGAGUAAUGUAUCGGAACCUACCCAGUAAUGGGGGAUAACUCUUCGAAACGAUAGCUAAUACCGCAUACGCUUUCAGAAGGAAAGUGGGGGCUCUUCGGACCUCUUGCUCUUCGAUCUGCCGAUGUCUGAUUAGCUAGUUGGUGGGGUAAAGGCCCACCAAGGCGACGAUCAGUAGCUGGUCUGAGAGGAUGAUCAGCCACACUGGAACUGAGACACGGUCCAGACUCCUACGGGAGGCAGCAGUGGGGAAUAUUGGACAAUGGGCGCAAGCCUGAUCCAGCCAUGCCGCGUGUAUGAAGAAGGCCUUCGGGUUGUAAAGGACUUUUGUUAGGGAAGAAAAGAAUAAAGUUAAUACCAUUAUCUGCUGACGGUACCUAAAGAAUAAGCACCGGCUAACUACGUG
RNAcentral lists this ribosomal RNA (490 nucleotides) under uncultured bacterium. Its description in RNAcentral is "partial 16S ribosomal RNA". It matches the Rfam family "Bacterial small subunit ribosomal RNA", at positions 30 to 507 of the family's 1533-position model. The record is from RNAcentral.